This 72-nucleotide transfer RNA is filed under the name Chrysochloris asiatica (Cape golden mole). It matches the Rfam family "tRNA". From Rfam's summary of the family: Transfer RNA (tRNA) molecules are approximately 80 nucleotides in length. Their secondary structure includes four short double-helical elements and three loops (D, anti-codon, and T loops). Further hydrogen bonds mediate the characteristic L-shaped molecular structure. tRNAs have two regions of fundamental functional importance: the anti-codon, which is responsible for specific mRNA codon recognition, and the 3' end, to which the tRNAs corresponding amino acid is attached (by aminoacyl-tRNA synthetases). tRNAs cope with the degeneracy of the genetic code in two manners: having more than one tRNA (with a specific anti-codon) for a particular amino acid; and 'wobble' base-pairing, i.e. permitting non-standard base-pairing at the 3rd anti-codon position. Lineage: Eukaryota; Metazoa; Chordata; Mammalia; Afrosoricida; Chrysochloridae. The record is from Rfam by way of RNAcentral.
UAGAAUAUGGUGUAUAUGGUAGCACGAAGAUUUUUGAAUUCUUAGGUUUAGGUUCGAGUCCUAAAAUUCUAG